Molecule: unclassified non-coding RNA, 156 nt
Filed under: uncultured Cladosporium
Lineage: Eukaryota; Fungi; Ascomycota; Dothideomycetes; Cladosporiales; Cladosporiaceae
Description: sequence contains ITS1
Source: RNAcentral
CCAGUGACCCCCGGCUUCGGCCGGGGAUGAUCAUAACCCUUUGCUGUCCGACUCUGUUGCCUCCGGGGCGACCCUGCCUCCGGGCGGGGGCCCCGGGUGGACACAUUCAAACUCUUGCGUAACUUUGCAGUCUGAGUAAAUUUAAUUAAUAAAUUA